GAUGAACGCUGGCGGCGUGCCUAAUACAUGCAAGUCGAGCGAACAGACGAGGAGCUUGCUCCUCUGACGUUAGCGGCGGACGGGUGAGUAACACGUGGAUAACCUACCUAUAAGACUGGGAUAACUUCGGGAAACCGGAGCUAAUACCGGAUAAUAUAUUGAACCGCAUGGUUCAAUAGAGAAAGACGGUUUUGCUGUCACGUAUAGAUGGAUCCGCGCCGCAUUAGCUAGUUGGUAAGGUAACGGCUUACCAAGGCAACGAUGCGUAGCCGACCUGAGAGGGUGAUCGGCCACACUGGAACUGAGACACGGUCCAGACUCCUACGGGAGGCAGCAGUAGGGAAUCUUCCGCAAUGGGCGAAAGCCUGACGGAGCAACGCCGCGUGAGUGAUGAAGGUCUUCGGAUCGUAAAACUCUGUUAUUAGGGAAGAACAAAUGUGUAAGUAACUAUGCACGUCUUGACGGUACCUAAUCAGAAAGCCACGGCUAACUACGUG
Molecule: ribosomal RNA, 497 nt
Filed under: uncultured bacterium
Lineage: Bacteria
Description: partial 16S ribosomal RNA
Rfam family: Bacterial small subunit ribosomal RNA
Source: RNAcentral